Molecule: non-coding RNA, 29 nt
Filed under: Homo sapiens (human)
Lineage: Eukaryota; Metazoa; Chordata; Mammalia; Primates; Hominidae
Source: RNAcentral
UCCCUCUGUUUAUGUUCAGGCUGAUGUUU